Molecule: long non-coding RNA, 547 nt
Organism: Pseudophryne corroboree (corroboree frog)
Lineage: Eukaryota; Metazoa; Chordata; Amphibia; Anura; Myobatrachidae
Exons: 3
Source: RefSeq, a predicted model, not a curated record
GUAACUGUGGGGAGGACAUAUUGUGCUGCUGAGAGACUGCUGGGAGAGCUCUGAAGGGACGGAGAAAGAGCACGGGAGAUGCUGCGCUGACGGGGACGCUCUACUCAGUGUAGUCAGCCUCAGACAGCAUCAGAACUGGGUUCAGGACGGUACCUGCUUUAAUCGACGAGCUCCGGUGAUCGAGCGGAGCUGGUUCGGUCUUCCAGAGAACUCCCAUGUCAGUGAUGAGGGAGGCGGCCUAGAGAGAAGUUGUGUGCACACUGAUCCUCACUUCACGGAGAAGCAACGCCAGGAUGAUUUCUGCAGUUAUGGAGUUUGAGUCAUCCCCAAUAAAGAGCAUCACGCCUUGAGUCUGCUCUAAGGAAGAAACAUUGCAAAUUCAUAAUCGAGGUUGUGGAGAAUGUUACAAAAGAAAGAAACACAUGGUGGUACAUGAUACGCCAGGACUGGUUCCACUCAUUAUAGAUCAAUAGAGAAAAAUCUGGUUGUUCAUAGUACACCAAGGGUUAAAGAUCUCAUUAAUAAAGAAUGGGAUCUCAUGGAUAAA